Molecule: ribosomal RNA, 1949 nt
Filed under: metagenome
Also listed under: 2 other names
Description: bacterial LSU rRNA
Rfam family: Bacterial large subunit ribosomal RNA
Source: RNAcentral
UUAAGCGACUAAGCGUACACGGUGGAUGCCCUGGCAGUCAGAGGCGAUGAAGGACGUGCUAAUCUGCGAUAAGCGUCGGUGAGGUGAUAUGAACCGUUAUAACCGGCGAUUUCCGAAUGGGGAAACCCAGUGUGUUUCGACACACUAUCAUUAACUGAAUCCAUAGGUUAAUGAGGCGAACCGGGGGAACUGAAACAUCUAAGUACCCCGAGGAAAAGAAAUCAACCGAGAUUCCCCCAGUAGCGGCGAGCGAACGGGGAGGAGCCCAGAGCCUGAAUCAGUGUGUGUGUUAGUGGAAGCGUCUGGAAAGGCGCGCGAUACAGGGUGACAGCCCCGUACACAAAAAUGCACAUAUUGUGAGCUCGAUGAGUAGGGCGGGACACGUGGUAUCCUGUCUGAAUAUGGGGGGACCAUCCUCCAAGGCUAAAUACUCCUGACUGACCGAUAGUGAACCAGUACCGUGAGGGAAAGGCGAAAAGAACCCCGGCGAGGGGAGUGAAAAAGAACCUGAAACCGUGUACGUACAAGCAGUGGGAGCCUCUUUAUGGGGUGACUGCGUACCUUUUGUAUAAUGGGUCAGCGACUUAUAUUCUGUAGCAAGGUUAACCGAAUAGGGGAGCCGAAGGGAAACCGAGUCUUAACUGGGCGUUAAGUUGCAGGGUAUAGACCCGAAACCCGGUGAUCUAGCCAUGGGCAGGUUGAAGGUUGGGUAACACUAACUGGAGGACCGAACCGACUAAUGUUGAAAAAUUAGCGGAUGACUUGUGGCUGGGGGUGAAAGGCCAAUCAAACCGGGAGAUAGCUGGUUCUCCCCGAAAGCUAUUUAGGUAGCGCCUCGUGAAUUCAUCUCCGGGGGUAGAGCACUGUUUCGGCAAGGGGGUCAUCCCGACUUACCAACCCGAUGCAAACUGCGAAUACCGGAGAAUGUUAUCACGGGAGACACACGGCGGGUGCUAACGUCCGUCGUGAAGAGGGAAACAACCCAGACCGCCAGCUAAGGUCCCAAAGUCAUGGUUAAGUGGGAAACGAUGUGGGAAGGCCCAGACAGCCAGGAUGUUGGCUUAGAAGCAGCCAUCAUUUAAAGAAAGCGUAAUAGCUCACUGGUCGAGUCGGCCUGCGCGGAAGAUGUAACGGGGCUAAACCAUGCACCGAAGCUGCGGCAGCGACACUAUGUGUUGUUGGGUAGGGGAGCGUUCUGUAAGCCUGUGAAGGUGGCCUGUGAGGGUUGCUGGAGGUAUCAGAAGUGCGAAUGCUGACAUAAGUAACGAUAAAGCGGGUGAAAAGCCCGCUCGCCGGAAGACCAAGGGUUCCUGUCCAACGUUAAUCGGGGCAGGGUGAGUCGACCCCUAAGGCGAGGCCGAAAGGCGUAGUCGAUGGGAAACAGGUUAAUAUUCCUGUACUUGGUGUUACUGCGAAGGGGGGACGGAGAAGGCUAUGUUGGCCGGGCGACGGUUGUCCCGGUUUAAGCGUGUAGGCUGGUUUUCCAGGCAAAUCCGGAAAACCAAGGCUGAGGCGUGAUGACGAGGCACUACGGUGCUGAAGCGACAAAUGCCCUGCUUCCAGGAAAAGCCUCUAAGCAUCAGGUAACAUCAAAUCGUACCCCAAACCGACACAGGUGGUCAGGUAGAGAAUACCAAGGCGCUUGAGAGAACUCGGGUGAAGGAACUAGGCAAAAUGGUGCCGUAACUUCGGGAGAAGGCACGCUGAUAUGUAGGUGAAGCGACUUGCUCGUGGAGCUGAAAUCAGUCGAAGAUACCAGCUGGCUGCAACUGUUUAUUAAAAACACAGCACUGUGCAAACACGAAAGUGGACGUAUACGGUGUGACGCCUGCCCGGUGCCGGAAGGUUAAUUGAUGGGGUUAGCGGUAACGCGAAGCUCUUGAUCGAAGCCCCGGUAAACGGCGGCCGUAACUAUAACGGUCCUAAGGUAGCGAAAUUCCUUGUCGGGU